GACGAACGCUGGCGGCGUGCUUAACACAUGCAAGUCGAACGGAAAGGCCCUGCGUGUGUGCGGUGCUCGAGGGGCGAACGGGGGAGUAACAGGUGAGUAACCUGCUCUUGACUUUGGGAUAACUUCAGGAAACUGGGGCUAAUACCGGAUAGGAGCCGACCUGCGGGGGGGGGGAGGGAAAGUUUCGGCGGUUGGGGAUGGACUGGCGGCUUAUCAGCUUGGUGGGUGGGUAGUGGCUUACCAAGGCAUUGACGGGUAGCCGGCCUGGGAGGGUGACCGGCCACCUUGGGCCUGCGAUACGGCCCAGACUCCUACGGGAGGCAGCAGUGGGGAAUAUUGCCCAAUGGGCGCACGCCUGAUGCAGCAACGCCGCGUGCGGGAUGACGGCCUUCGGGUUGUAAACCGCUUUCGCCUGUGACGAAGCGUGAGUGACGGUAAUGGGUAAAGAAGCACCGGCUAACUACGUG
Molecule: ribosomal RNA, 467 nt
Filed under: uncultured bacterium
Lineage: Bacteria
Description: partial 16S ribosomal RNA
Rfam family: Bacterial small subunit ribosomal RNA
Source: RNAcentral